AGUGAACGCUGGCGGUAGGCCUAACACAUGCAAGUCGAACGGCAGCACAGUAAGAGCUUGCUCUUACGGGUGGCGAGUGGCGGACGGGUGAGGAAUACAUCGGAAUCUACUUUUUCGUGGGGGAUAACGUAGGGAAACUUACGCUAAUACCGCAUACGACCUACGGGUGAAAGCAGGGGAUCUUCGGACCUUGCGCGAUUGAAUGAGCCGAUGUCGGAUUAGCUAGUUGGCGGGGUAAAGGCCCACCAAGACGACGAUCCGUAGCUGGUCUGAGAGGAUGAUCAGCCACACUGGAACUGAGACACGGUCCAGACUCCUACGGGAGGCAGCGGUGGGGAAUAUUGGACAAUGGGCGCAAGCCUGAUCCAGCCAUACCGCGUGGGUGAAGAAGGCCUUCGGGUUGUAAAGCCCUUUUGUUGGGAAAGAAAAGCAGCAGGUUAAUACCCCGCUGUUCUGACGGUACCCAAAGAAUAAGCACCGGCUAACUUCGUG
This 492-nucleotide ribosomal RNA is filed under the name uncultured bacterium. RNAcentral's name for it is "partial 16S ribosomal RNA". It matches the Rfam family "Bacterial small subunit ribosomal RNA", at positions 29 to 507 of the family's 1533-position model. The record is from RNAcentral.